This is a long non-coding RNA of Rhea pennata, 1778 nucleotides long. RefSeq lists it as uncharacterized. The transcript is spliced from 3 exons. Lineage: Eukaryota; Metazoa; Chordata; Aves; Rheiformes; Rheidae. The record is from RefSeq and is a predicted model, not a curated record.
UGGGGAAGUCACAUAGCUCAGCCUUCUCCCAAGCCAGUUCAACUCUAUCCAAGUUACAUCUGUGCUACAGCUGUUCAACCUGUUCUUAGUCUACCUUCUCCCCUCUCAGCCACCACAGCCUCCCCAGGCAAUUUAUUCCAGCCCUUGACUUGCUAUAGUGGCUAAUAGCUAACCUCUGCCUCUGCUGCUUGAAUUUAAACCCAUUAAUUCUGUUCACGGAGAACAAAUUAUUCCCUUCCACUUUGCAGCAGCUGUUUAUAUGUUUGAAGAUUGCUCCAUCUCCUCUUCUCUAGCCUGAACAACUCCUGCUCUUCCCGUUUUUUCUCGCAGGUCAUGCUUUGAGACAACCAGUCAUUCCUGUUGAUUGCCAGUGAGUCCUUGUCUCUCCUGAAAUGAGGAGCCCAGCACUCGAUGUAUCACCAGCUCUUAUCCUGUGGGACUCGCAAGUUAUUCUCCUGCUCAGAGUGUACUUGUGUUCUUCUCAGCAUGUGAGGGAAAAUCCGAGCCCCAGCCGGAGACGGCGCGCACCAUGCCUCGUGCCUGGUGCUCGGCGUGCCGAGGGAUCGCCCCCGCGCCCAAUCCCUGCCUCUGGGGGGAAACACGCCGCUUUUAUCCCUGUGAGCCUUCCUGCCCCGUCCAGCUGAGCAGGGCAUGCAGCUUUCCCCAUUCAGCCUCCCUCGCUGGGCUUGGAGAUGACCGCAGGGACAGCCAGGCAGGGCUCGCCCAGAGCCCAGCGCGACGGGACACCACGUGGGUGCCCAGGCCUCGCAGUUGGGCAAGAGCAAGGGGUGCCGAGCUUCAGCAGGACUGCAAAGAGCUCCCGGACCACGCAGCAUCCCUGACUCUCAUUUUCAGGUGUUUGCGCCGUGCUGUGUUUGCAGCGGCUGCCCCGGGAGCCUGGCUGCAGCAAUACCGGCUUCACCAUCCUCAGCUCCACCACUGGCCCACGCCCUGCAAGGCAGGAGUGCCGGCAUAACCCCCUGCAGAAAUACUCCCUAACUCAGCUCCCUUAAUGUCACCUGAUUAACUAAGCAGAUGUGGGGGGCAGGAGAGAAGUUUUGUAUCAAAAGCCUUUGUGCAAAAGCUGGGCUAGGGGUCACUGGGACCAGGGCCAGGCAGGGGGAGCCUCUUAAUUUGACUCUGCUGCAGCCAGGAGAGCACUGUUAUUGCAUGCAUGUUAUUGCAUGGAAGUGGGAGGUCCUGAAAAGUACCGAACAAUGUUUUCUGCUGCAAAAACAAAGAAGAAACCAACCCCAUCACCCCAAAAGCCAGACGAGAAGCGUGCUGCGCUGUGCAGCCAUCCUCCUGCUGCGUGCAGCACAGGGAAGCUCUCAGCAGACGCACCGCAUCCGGUUUUUGAGCACCAGACUUCACGAAAGAUAAGGACAAGUCAGAACAAAUCCACAGGAGAGCACGGAAAAUGAUGAAUGACCAGAGGUCUGGAAAAAUGAUCCACGAGGAAAGACUGAAAGAGCUGAGUUCUCAGUUUUGGCUGAGUUCCCCUGCUGCCUGGGGCAGAGGAAGCUGAGGAGGGCCCCAGUCCUCAAGCAGACUAUUACAAAAUCUCCACUGUAUUAAUCCUUUAUGGACCACCAAACUGUUAUGAAGGAGUGAAAGCUAAUAGUGCUUAGUUCUCACUGUACCCUCGCAAGGCAUAGUUGUUCCCAGCCAAAGCUACGCUAAAUUACGUGAAUAAUUUGAUAAAUAUAUUAACUGCCUAAUGCCCCUGAAAUGCGUCUAAUUGCAAUUGCUAUGGCUAGACAAGAAAUGAGUCUCAG